UGGGGAAUAUUGCGCAAUGGGGGGAACCCUGACGCAGCCAUGCCGCGUGAAUGAAGAAGGCCUUAGGGUUGUAAAGUUCUUUCGGUAUUGAGGAAGGUUGAUGUGUUAAUAGCACAUCAAAUUGACGUUAAAUACAGAAGAAGCACCGGCUAACUCCGUGCCAGCAGCCGCGGUAAUACGGAGGGUGCGAGCGUUAAUCGGAAUAACUGGGCGUAAAGGGCACGUAGGCGGUUAUUUAAGUGAGGUGUGAAAGCCCCGGGCUUAACCUGGGAAUUGCAUUUCAGACUGGGUAACUAGAGUACUUUAGGGAGGGGUAGAAUUCCACGUGUAGCGGUGAAAUGCGUAGAGAUGUGGAGGAAUACCGAAGGCGAAGGCAGCCCCUUGGGAAUGUACUGACGCUCAUGUGCGAAAGCGUGGGGAGCAAACAGGAUUAGAUACCCUGGUAGUCCACGCUGUAAACGCUGUCGAUUUGGGGGUUGGGGUUUAACUCUGGCGCCCGUAGCUAACGUGAUAAAUCGACCGCCUGGGGAGUACGGCCGCAAGGUUA
RNAcentral lists this ribosomal RNA (547 nucleotides) under uncultured bacterium. RNAcentral's name for it is "bacterial SSU rRNA". It matches the Rfam family "Bacterial small subunit ribosomal RNA", at positions 355 to 896 of the family's 1533-position model. The record is from RNAcentral.